RNAcentral lists this ribosomal RNA (734 nucleotides) under uncultured bacterium. Its description in RNAcentral is "bacterial SSU rRNA". It matches the Rfam family "Bacterial small subunit ribosomal RNA", at positions 68 to 817 of the family's 1533-position model. The record is from RNAcentral.
GAUAUAUGGAGCUUGCUUUAUAUAACUUAGCAGCGAACGGGUGAGUAACACGUAGAUAAUCUAUCCUAUACUGGGGGAUAGCCCGAUGAAAGUUGGAUUAAUACCGCAUAUAGCUAUAUAGUUGCGUGAUUAUGUAGUGAAAGAUUUAUUGGUAUAGGAGGAGUCUGCGGCACAUUAGCUAGUAGGUGAGGUAAAGGCUUACCUAGGCGACGAUGUGUAGCCGGUCUGAGAGGAUGAACGGCCACAAUGGAACUGAGACACGGUCCAUACUCCUACGGGAGGCAGCAGUGGGGAAUAUUGCACAAUGGGGGAAACCCUGAUGCAGCAACGCCGCGUGAGUGAAGAAGGUUUUCGGAUUGUAAAGCUCUGUUAGCAGGGAAGAGGAAGGACGGUACCUGCAGAGGAAGCCACGGCUAACUACGUGCCAGCAGCCGCGGUAAUACGUAGGUGGCAAGCGUUGUUCGGAAUAACUGGGCGUAAAGGAUGCGUAGGCGGUUAAACAAGUUAUAUGUUAAAUAUAUAGGCUUAACCUGUAGAAAGCAUAUAAAACUGUUUAACUGGAGUGCAGGAGAGGUAAGUGGAAUUCCUAGUGUAGCGGUGAAAUGCGUAGAGAUUAGGAAGAACACCAGUGGCGAAGGCGACUUACUGGACUGUAACUGACGCUGAGGCAUGAGAGCAUGGGGAGCAAACAGGAUUAGAUACCCUGGUAGUCCAUGCUGUAAACGAUGGGUACU